UUAACAUUCGUUAUAAACAGUUCAGACAGAAGACAUUGGAUACAUGAAUUUAAUGAUUACCUCCCAUGGGAACUCUCCUGGGAUUCACAUCUCAAGAGUGACCAAGGUCAGGCCCCAUGGAAGCAACAGGCAAGGUACUCGGAAUGGGUUUAUGCAGUUGAUACAUGAAAUGUAUAACCAAUUGCGUUUAAUGAUCCUUCCGCAGGUUCACCUACGGAAA
Molecule: unclassified non-coding RNA, 220 nt
Filed under: uncultured fungus
Lineage: Eukaryota; Fungi
Description: sequence contains ITS1
Source: RNAcentral